Molecule: ribosomal RNA, 1556 nt
Filed under: Salmonella enterica subsp. enterica serovar Poona str. ATCC BAA-1673
Lineage: Bacteria; Pseudomonadati; Pseudomonadota; Gammaproteobacteria; Enterobacterales; Enterobacteriaceae
Description: bacterial SSU rRNA
Rfam family: Bacterial small subunit ribosomal RNA
Source: RNAcentral
UUAAAUUGAAGAGUUUGAUCAUGGCUCAGAUUGAACGCUGGCGGCAGGCCUAACACAUGCAAGUCGAACGGUAACAGGAAGCAGCUUGCUGCUUUGCUGACGAGUGGCGGACGGGUGAGUAAUGUCUGGGAAACUGCCUGAUGGAGGGGGAUAACUACUGGAAACGGUGGCUAAUACCGCAUAACGUCGCAAGACCAAAGAGGGGGACCUUCGGGCCUCUUGCCAUCAGAUGUGCCCAGAUGGGAUUAGCUUGUUGGUGAGGUAACGGCUCACCAAGGCGACGAUCCCUAGCUGGUCUGAGAGGAUGACCAGCCACACUGGAACUGAGACACGGUCCAGACUCCUACGGGAGGCAGCAGUGGGGAAUAUUGCACAAUGGGCGCAAGCCUGAUGCAGCCAUGCCGCGUGUAUGAAGAAGGCCUUCGGGUUGUAAAGUACUUUCAGCGGGGAGGAAGGUGUUGUGGUUAAUAAACGCAGCAAUUGACGUUACCCGCAGAAGAAGCACCGGCUAACUCCGUGCCAGCAGCCGCGGUAAUACGGAGGGUGCAAGCGUUAAUCGGAAUUACUGGGCGUAAAGCGCACGCAGGCGGUCUGUCAAGUCGGAUGUGAAAUCCCCGGGCUCAACCUGGGAACUGCAUUCGAAACUGGCAGGCUUGAGUCUUGUAGAGGGGGGUAGAAUUCCAGGUGUAGCGGUGAAAUGCGUAGAGAUCUGGAGGAAUACCGGUGGCGAAGGCGGCCCCCUGGACAAAGACUGACGCUCAGGUGCGAAAGCGUGGGGAGCAAACAGGAUUAGAUACCCUGGUAGUCCACGCCGUAAACGAUGUCUACUUGGAGGUUGUGCCCUUGAGGCGUGGCUUCCGGAGCUAACGCGUUAAGUAGACCGCCUGGGGAGUACGGCCGCAAGGUUAAAACUCAAAUGAAUUGACGGGGGCCCGCACAAGCGGUGGAGCAUGUGGUUUAAUUCGAUGCAACGCGAAGAACCUUACCUGGUCUUGACAUCCACGGAAGUUUUCAGAGAUGAGAAUGUGCCUUCGGGAACCGUGAGACAGGUGCUGCAUGGCUGUCGUCAGCUCGUGUUGUGAAAUGUUGGGUUAAGUCCCGCAACGAGCGCAACCCUUAUCCUUUGUUGCCAGCGGUCCGGCCGGGAACUCAAAGGAGACUGCCAGUGAUAAACUGGAGGAAGGUGGGGAUGACGUCAAGUCAUCAUGGCCCUUACGACCAGGGCUACACACGUGCUACAAUGGCGCAUACAAAGAGAAGCGACCUCGCGAGAGCAAGCGGACCUCAUAAAGUGCGUCGUAGUCCGGAUUGGAGUCUGCAACUCGACUCCAUGAAGUCGGAAUCGCUAGUAAUCGUGGAUCAGAAUGCCACGGUGAAUACGUUCCCGGGCCUUGUACACACCGCCCGUCACACCAUGGGAGUGGGUUGCAAAAGAAGUAGGUAGCUUAACCUUCGGGAGGGCGCUUACCACUUUGUGAUUCAUGACUGGGGUGAAGUCGUAACAAGGUAACCGUAGGGGAACCUGCGGUUGGAUCACCUCCUUACCUGAAAGAAGC